CCUACGGGUGGCAGCAGUGGGGGAUAUUGCACAAUGGGGGGAACCCUGAUGCAGCGACGCCGCGUGGGUGAAGGAGUGCUUCGGCAUGUAAAGCCCUAUCGGCAGGGAAGAAGCAAGACGGUACCUGACUAAGAAGCCCCGGCUAACUACGUUCCAGCAGCCGCGGUAAUACGUAGGGGGCGAGCGUUAUCCGGAUUCACUGGGUGUAAAGGGAGCGUAGACGGCCAUGCAAGCCAGGGGUGAAAGCCCGGGGCCCAACCCCGGAGCGGCCCUUGGAACUGGGCGGCUAGAGUGCGGGAGGGGCAGGCGGAAUUCCUGGUGUAGCGGUGAAAUGCGUAGAUAUAAGGAGGAACACCGGCGGCGAAGGCGGCCUGCUGGACCGUGACUGACGUUGAGGCUCGAAAGCGUGGGGAGCGAACAGGAUUAGAUACCCCUGUAGUC
RNAcentral lists this ribosomal RNA (441 nucleotides) under uncultured bacterium. Its description in RNAcentral is "partial 16S ribosomal RNA". It matches the Rfam family "Bacterial small subunit ribosomal RNA", at positions 338 to 795 of the family's 1533-position model. The record is from RNAcentral.